Molecule: long non-coding RNA, 1048 nt
Filed under: Pogona vitticeps (central bearded dragon)
Lineage: Eukaryota; Metazoa; Chordata; Lepidosauria; Squamata; Agamidae
Description: lncRNA (ENSPVIG00000023348.1)
Source: RNAcentral
CCUGGCUUAGCGCCGGGUCAGGCUGUCAAGAGCCCGGAAGGAAGGAAAGAAAGAGGGGGAGAGGUCGUCAAGGGGCGCCCCCGGGCACCGUAGACCCACCCAGGAAGGUCAGGGAGGGGGGGGACAGAGAGCGAGCAAGACCCCUUGAGAAAGAGCUUCCCCAGGGUGGCAGAUCCGGCUGCUUUAGGGUUGUGGAGACCUCCUGGCUGACUCCUCUCUGGCCUUCCUCUAUUACUCCCCCCCCCAACACAUAAAAUCCACUUUUUUUUUGCAAGUCCACCACAUUCCCUCUCCCAUUUUACUCCCAUCGCUUUCGCACAUUCCUCUUGCUCUCCUUUCGCCUGAUACAUUCCCAGCAGCAGCUACUUGCCCUUGCUAAGGUUUUGGGGUUUGUUUGUUUUUUGGCCACUCCCCCCCAAUCACCCCAUUCCUCCUUCCUUCCCAUUUCUCAUUUCUUAACUUUUUGCCUUGGACUGGUUGUCUGAAUCUUCUAAUUGUCUAGUGCGACUUUUACCUUCACUUCCUGUUUUUUUUUCAUUUAACACCUUGCUUUCUGGACACCUGUAUUUUUCAUAUUGUUAUUCAUUCUUCUCUUUUCUUCCCCUCUCAGGUAUUACAUCAUCCCUCACCUCAUCCCUGUAAUUUUUCAAUUUUAAAGGGAGCCUCUUUCCUCCAUAUUUAUUAUUCUCUUUGCAGUUUUGGACCUGUUUUUGCAUAUACUCCCACAAAGCUUUAGUCCACCUUGAAGAACUUUUUGCCCCAUCCCUGAACACUUUCAGCAUCAUUAUUUAGUCCUCUUUCCAUAUUUAGCCUUUAUUUUUCCUGGCUUCUGAAGUCUAUUACAGCUUUUCUCUAAAGAAAGCCUAUCAGGGUUGAUUUGCCCUCCUCCUCUUACAUUUUAAUAUUUCCAUCUGUAAAAUUUCACAGUGGGUUUUUUUUCUUCCAUAUUCUCAAUCUUUCCUGCUUCCAGUUCUCCUUAUCCACUUUGCAUCAUUCCCCAGCUUUCAUCCUUUAAAAAUAAAAACGCCUUUUUUUGCCUUUUGUGACA